CGGGGUGAGUAAUGUAUGGGGAUCUGCCUGAUGGCGGGGGAUAACUACUGGAAACGGUAGCUAAUACCGCAUAAUGUCUACGGACCAAAGCGGGGGACCUCCGGGCCUCGCGCCAUCAGAUGAACCCAUAUGGGAUUAGCUAGUAGGUAAGGUAGCGGCUUACCUAGGCGACGAUCCCUAGCUGGUCUGAGAGGAUGAUCAGCCACACUGGGACUGAGACACGGUCCAG
This 229-nucleotide ribosomal RNA is filed under the name uncultured bacterium. RNAcentral describes it as "partial 16S ribosomal RNA". It matches the Rfam family "Bacterial small subunit ribosomal RNA", at positions 104 to 334 of the family's 1533-position model. The record is from RNAcentral.